GGAGAGAUGCCGGAGCGGCUGAACGGGCUGGUUUCGAAAACCAGAGUGUCCAUUGGGCACCGGGGGUUCAAAUCCCUCUCUCUCCGCCA
This 89-nucleotide transfer RNA is filed under the name Planctomycetota bacterium. RNAcentral describes it as "tRNA-Ser". It matches the Rfam family "tRNA". From Rfam's summary of the family: Transfer RNA (tRNA) molecules are approximately 80 nucleotides in length. Their secondary structure includes four short double-helical elements and three loops (D, anti-codon, and T loops). Lineage: Bacteria; Pseudomonadati; Planctomycetota. The record is from RNAcentral.